AGACAUUGCAGUUACAAAACUACUAAAACUUAUCCACAGCUAUACCACAUGAAGCUAUGCGGCGAUCCUGUCAGAUGUCUUAAGGCAAAGAGAACCAAGGUCGGGGAACCUCCAGGACCAUGCCACCAGGGAUCAGGAACUACAGAUGUCUGGAGCAGAUCACCGUCACCAGAUGAAUUGCAGAUGGGUGGCUGAUGUUCUCUCAAAGAACCACACAACUUGAACGUAGGAACACAGGCUGCCUCCUGAGCAGACAGCAACCUGUCACACUAUGUCAGCCCCCUUAUAUCAUGUCCUGUUACCAGGCAGAUUACUUAGGAUCAUGUGACCCUUUCCCGCUCUUUUGUCUGGGUUUCCCCCCUUUGCUCAGUUGCUGGGCAGGAUUACACAAACAUUAACCAAUCAAAAAUUGGACACCACAAAAAGGACGCCAAACCAAGCAUGAAGACAGUGCACCAAAAUGGAGGGUAGAAGACAGUGACAAAAAUAAAAUGGCUAAAACUCCCAACACAAGGGCUGAAUUGAAGAUUAGAUGCCACAAGUGCUCAACACAAAAAAUUGUACAGGGAGGACUAAUGAGGGUAACACUGAUAAGAUCAUGUGCUUGCAUAGCCUGCUGGUAGAUAGUGCACAAUUUGAUUCUGUUCAAAGGAAUUAAAUUAAUUCAACUUC
This is a long non-coding RNA of Caretta caretta (loggerhead turtle), 672 nucleotides long. RefSeq lists it as uncharacterized. NCBI's taxonomy places the organism in Eukaryota, Metazoa, Chordata, Testudines, Cheloniidae. The record is from RefSeq and is a predicted model, not a curated record.